CCCAGUCUGACAUUUCUGAGCAGUGUCCUUGUGUUUGUUCCUGCCGUGUAUUAUCUUGGAUUGUUUGUACUGCCUGUGAUUCUCUGCUGCCUGCCCCUUUUACCACUGCUCUUGUUUUUCGACUCUGUUUAUGCUGAUUGCUGCCUGCCCCGACCUCUGCCUGGAAUACGUCUGUCUCUGGAUUAUCUGUGUUAUCCCUGAUGCUGGUGAUUGAUCUUGUCUGUUUCUGACCGUGAUUAAUAAAAGCUGCAAAUGGAUCCGCUCACCUUUGACUCCUUGUUACAAAAGACUUCGCCCUACCAGGAUCCAGCAGCCUCUCGUCAACCGAGAUACCUGUUCCCACCUCUGUGUCAGCGUUUCACCUAUCCAGCUCAACCAUAGAUCCAGUCGACCAGCUACUGCGGCAAGUCUGCGGCAAGGAGAUUGUUCUAUUGAGGAUUACAUACAGCAGUUCUUCCUACCUGACCAGACUUGCUCUCCUGUGCCAUUGACUCCACUGUGGUGGUCCUCUGCUCCGCCCUGGUGGGCUCCUGCCUCGCCAGUCUCAACCUGGCUCUCUGCUUUGCCUGCUCCUCACUGGUGGUCUUCGGCUCUGCCCUGGCACCCUGCUCUGCCUCCCUCCUCUGUCCAUCCACUUCCACAUGGACCUGGCCCUCCAUCCCUCCCCCUGUUCUGCCUCUGCUCCACCUCCCACCUGAACUUUGGUCUGUUCUCAGUUAGGAGCGUCUGGAAGCCCCUUUGACCACUGCUCUUGUUUUUCGACUCUGUUUAUGCUGAUUGCUGCCUGCCCCGACCUCUGCCUGGAAUACGUCUAUCUCUGGAUUAUCUGUUAUCCCUGACGCUGGUGAUCUUGUCUGUUUCUGACCGUGAUUAAUAAAAGCUGCAAAUGGAUCUGCUCACCUUUGACUCCUUGUUACAACAUUCCUGCUUUGUGUGUGUAUAUA
Molecule: long non-coding RNA, 944 nt
Organism: Cyprinus carpio carpio
Lineage: Eukaryota; Metazoa; Chordata; Actinopteri; Cypriniformes; Cyprinidae
Source: Ensembl